Non-coding RNA from Odocoileus virginianus texanus, 955 nucleotides. The record is from RefSeq and is a predicted model, not a curated record. NCBI's taxonomy places the organism in Eukaryota, Metazoa, Chordata, Mammalia, Artiodactyla, Cervidae.
UCGAACCCAUAUCUCCUGCAUUGGCAGGUGGAUUCUUUACCGCUGAGCCACCCUGGAAGCCCCUUGAGUCCUGUUACCCCUCAAAGCAAAGGGUCUUGACGUCACGCCCCCGCCCUGCCCCUUCUCAGCAGGUCGAGUCCCAGACGCUUGCCAUGUUCCGUGACAUCACGCAGCAGCUCCAGACCACCUGUGCCUCUCUGGGCUCCAGCCUCCAGGGUCUGCCUGCCCACAUCAAGGACCAGGCACUACAGGCUCGCCAGCAGGUCGAGGACCUCCAAGCCACCUUCUCUGGCAUCCACUCCUUCCAGGAUCUGUCCAGCAGCGUCCUGACGCGGAGCCGCGAGCAGGUGGCCAGGGCCCGAGAGGCCCUGGACCACUUGGUGGAGUAUGUGGCCCAGAACACACCCAUCACGUGGCUGGUGGGCCCCUUCGCCCCCGGAAUCGUCGAGAAGGCCCCAGAAAAGAAGAAAUAGGAGAGGCUGGAGGAGGACUCAGAGGGCUCUGGCCUUCUCCGAGGGGCCGGCGAGUGACCAGGGACCCCUCACUGGGAACACACCUCAGGAAGCUGAGGUCCUCAAAUCUGACCCGUCCCUCAUCCUCUCCAAGCUUGGAGGAAGCGUGUCCUGAGCAUCACAUCCAUCAUCAGGACAAGAUUUCCAGGAAAAGAAAUUUUUUUUUUCUAGAAGGUUCCAAUUUUUUUUUUUCUUCCUUGAAAACCAGGAAUAUAGUUCUUACGUCCCACACCCUUUUUCUACAUUGAGUCCCCGGGUUAUCAGCCUUAAGCUAGUGGACUUGGAUCGCUGGGAGGUGGGCCUCUUAGGGGUGAGGUGGGGGCAGGGCAGCUGACACUCGGUCUGGAGCAGGAGGGGGCUCAGGCCUGCGCAGUGAGCCCUGGGUGCGGGAGGCUUCAGAUUUGCCUUAAUAAAUUUUACCUGCAAAGUCCAGGCCUUGUAUA